Long non-coding RNA from Poecile atricapillus (Black-capped chickadee), 1969 nucleotides. RefSeq lists it as uncharacterized. NCBI's taxonomy places the organism in Eukaryota, Metazoa, Chordata, Aves, Passeriformes, Paridae. The transcript is spliced from 2 exons. The record is from RefSeq and is a predicted model, not a curated record.
UCGGUCCCCUGGAGCCUCAUCCCCGGGCGGGGGUGACAGAGGGGACACGGGGCAGAAGUGUGUCCUCCCCCGGCAGGAGCCGCCUCACACCGCGGGAGCGCUGAGCCCCCGGCCCCGCCGCAGCGCUGGUGGCCCGGGCUGGUCCCCCUUGCCGGGAUCCCGUGGCUCUGUGUGCUGGUACAGCGACACGGCAGCAGAAACCCCCGUGUGCCUGACUGCUGAGGGCCAGGAGAAGCUGUUCCCUGCGCCGAGUGAGGCAAACCCAGCUUCGCUAAGCAGUAAUUUAGGAUAGAGCGAAUUAAAAAACAAAACCAAGCACCAAACCAGCUUUAUUUUGAAUUUUAGAAGAGGUUUUUUUGAAAGUGUUUUGAAAGUCUCAGAAGAGGAACAGUGACUUCUUAAUGAGUGACAUCAUGAUCAUGUUGUCCCUCUGUCUUUAGGGAAGUGCUGAGGACAUUGCAGAAUAAAAUGCACGAUUGUAAUGGUACGUGGUCGUGGCCAGCAGUCUCACAUCAGAAACUGGCUUUGAUGCUUUUGCAGACAAGCAUUCGCUGUUCUGCUGAAGACGUCACAGCGCAAUGGAAAAACCCAGACUUGCCUGGGAGGCUUUGCUGCUUAUUCACAUGUGGAGAGUUCCUUCAGUUACCUGAGACACAGAAGUGGAGUAAUGAGAACUCUGGAAGAAGCAAUGAUCCUGGCCCUGGGAAUACACAAUAGUGGAAGUGGAGCAGCCAGUGCACGUCCAGGGGGGAGCACACACAGUGUGCAAUUGCCUGAGGAGAGGAGACAUCUGGGCAGGCCAGUGCUGGGUAGGAAGAUGACUUGGAAAAGAGAAACAGAUGCUUUCUGAAAGCUGAUGGCAAAGUGAAAACAAAGCCUCUUGAGGCAGCCUGAGUUGUAAGGUUAGGUAGGCCUGUGGAGGUGGGAGUGCUGCUCCCCAGAAUGUGAGCACUCUCUUGACAGUCCUUUGCUCAGGCUGUGUCAGCAAAUGGGAUUUAGGUUUUUGCCUUGUAAGAGCAGAGUUGUGGGAAGUUUGGGCUCUCUGCUACUAGCAGGCACUGCCCUUCCCAAGGGAGGAAGGCUUUAGGAUCCGUCAGUGAGGGGCUGUGGGGAGAAAUCGUCUGAUCCCGCUGAUCCCACAGAUGAGACUCCUCUGCAGAUGUCUGGACUGCUGGGUGGUGUUUACAGGCCGGGGGGAAGGACCCUGAAAAAGUGGUGAUCACUGAUGCUGUGGCCUGAAAGCUCCAAGGUCUGAGCACAGUUACUACUGGUAUCACUUGAUAAGUUGCUGUUGGGACAUCAAGGAGUAACUCACAUGCAUUGUACUGGCUAGUGCAUGCCAAAAGAUCAGCAGAUUAGUGGCUCUGGCCAAGGAUAGCUGGGAGUUCAGCUUGGAAAGCAUUUUAGAAGCAGUUGGAAAAUAUGUUGACUGUUACAGUGUUGAUCCUGAUAAUUUUGUCUCUGGGAGAAGGGGUGGGUUUGGGAUUCAUGUCUUGUUUGCACUGGUGAGGUGUUAACUACACAGGUCUGCAUGGGCAAGGAGUGGAUUUUAUAAUGAAUAUGCAGUAAAAUGAUGAUUAUGUUAAAGAUGGAGUUUGAAUAAGGGUGAAACAAAUCUUAAUAUAUCUCUCAAUUAAAUGCAGGGUGGAAUGUAAAGAAUAUAAAUUGCAGUAUCAAGGGAUGGCAGUGGUGAGCUGUGUGGAGACCACUGAAACAAACACCCUGUCCCAUGCCAGAAUUUAAGCUCACAGUCCUGCUACUCAGGAAUACUUCUGGAGACACAGGUGCACUUUUUUGAAGGAGAUCCAUGCUGAAAGGACUUAAUUCCAAGGGGACUGCAGCUGGUGGAUGAGUUAUGUUUGAACAAGGAAACUUCUGAAGGCACAGUGGGCACUGGGGAACCCGUGCUGGAGAAAGUAUUCACUAAAAAGACAGUGCUCCAAAUUUGUGCAUCAUAGUAACAUUGUAC